RNAcentral lists this unclassified non-coding RNA (994 nucleotides) under Hevea brasiliensis (rubber tree). The record is from RNAcentral. Lineage: Eukaryota; Viridiplantae; Streptophyta; Magnoliopsida; Malpighiales; Euphorbiaceae.
CUGGAAUCUUUAAUGACUGCCGGAUUUCUGUACUUGAAGUGCGAAGGAAUGGAUUGCAAGCCUUCUCAACCUUCAGCACAGUUGGAAUUGUUGGCAAAUUCUUGCUGCGAAGAUGGGCCACAUGGGCUGCAUAGGAAUGGAGUGCCUUAUUAUUGGGUUCUAUAGACAAUGCAAACUUUGAAUUACGCAAUGUAUAUUCAUGGCCGCAAUAUAUAUUUGUAUCAUCUGGCAAAGACGUGAUUUUUCUCAGGGAAGAAUGCAUCUGCUCAGGUGUUCCUUCCAAAAGCUUGCCACAUGAUAAGCUAAACAAAGUGUCUCCUGUGAAAAUCGCCCCUGAUCCAGGAAAGUAGAAACUAAUGUGGCCUCGGGUAUGACCAGGAGUUUCCAUUACAACCACCUUGUGUCCUGCAAACAUCCAUUUAUCACCAUCAUUCAGAACUAUAUCAAUGCCAGGAAUUCUGUCUCUGUCAAUUCCUGGACCAAUUACCUUUGCACCGUACCUUGCUUUCAACUCUUCAUUCCCACCAGUGUGAUCAUGAUGAUGAUGAGUAUUCAGUAUAUAGGUCAAAUUUCGGUUUUUCCUACUUAGAGCAUCUAUAAUUGGUACAGCUUCAGUGGGAUCAACAACUCCAACUGUGCCGGUAUCCACAUCAUGUAAAAGAUAUGCAUAGUUAUCCCCAAGACAUGGCACCAAUUCAAUUUGUAAUGAGGAAGACAUAUUGGAAACACUGCAAAAUUCAGCAACUCUAAGUGUUCUACUAGCUCCACGCAAGGUCUUAAAUGGCAAAGACAGUAAGUGCAUGAAUCCAUACAAGAGGCCUUUUCUAAGGCAAAGCUGUCUUGCACCUGGCCAUACACAAAGCCCACUCCUCACCCUUGAGCAAGGAAGGGAGGCCAUAGCACAAGAUGCUUUAGAGAUCAUUUGCAUCCCUCUCUCACCCUCUUUUUGGUUACUUAAAGAAGUUCAGAGAGAGAGAGAGAGAGAGAGAGAGGG